GCUUAACACAUGCAAGUCGAACGGAAACGAUAGAAGCUUGCUUCUAGGCGUCGAGUGGCGGACGGGUGCGUAACGCGUGGGAAUUUACCUUUUAGUGGGGGAUAGCCCGGUGAAAACCGGAUUAAUACCGCAUACUACUCUACGGAGGAAAAGGGGCCUCUCCUUGGAAGCUCUUGCUAUUAGAUGAGCCCGCGUAAGAUUAGCUAGUUGGUUGAGGUAAUGGCUCACCAAGGCAACGAUCUUUAGCUGGUUUGAGAGGAUGAUCAGCCACACUGGGACUGAGACACGGCCCAGACUCCUACGGGAGGCAGCAGUGGGGAAUAUUGGACAAUGGGCGCAAGCCUGAUCCAGCAAUACCGCGUGUGUGAAGAAGGCCUGAGGGUUGUAAAGCACUUUCAAUAGGGACUAAAUGUUCGUAGUUAAUAACUGCGGAUCUUGAAUUAACCUAUAGAAGAAGGACCGGCUAACUCCGUGCCAGCAGCCGCGGUAAUACGGAGGGUCCGAGCGUUAAUCGGAAUUACUGGGCGUAAAGCGCGCGUAGGCGGUUUAUUAAGUCGGAUGUGAAAGCCCUGGGCUCAACCUGGGAACUGCAUUCGAUACUGGUAAACUAGAGUAUAGUAGAGGUAAGUGGAAUUCCAUGUGUAGCGGUGAAAUGCGUAGAUAUGUGGAGGAACAUCAGUGGCGAAGGCGACUUACUGGACUAAUACUGACGCUGAGGUGCGAAAGCGUGGGGAGCAAACGGGAUUAGAUACCCCGGUAGUCCACGCCGUAAACGAUGUCAACUAGCCGUUGGGAGCAUUUGAGCUUUUAGUGGCGCAGCUAACGCAUUAAGUUGACCGCCUGGGGA
RNAcentral lists this ribosomal RNA (847 nucleotides) under uncultured bacterium. Its description in RNAcentral is "bacterial SSU rRNA". It matches the Rfam family "Bacterial small subunit ribosomal RNA", at positions 46 to 879 of the family's 1533-position model. The record is from RNAcentral.